GAAGUGUUUGCACAUCUGGUGAUGGCCCUGGUCUUCAAAACCAGUGGGGGGCUUGAAGAAAGUCCUCAGUGGGUUCGAUUCCCAUACACUUCC
Molecule: transfer RNA, 93 nt
Filed under: Planctomycetota bacterium
Lineage: Bacteria; Pseudomonadati; Planctomycetota
Also listed under: 1 other name
Description: Planctomycetes bacterium tRNA-Sec
Rfam family: Selenocysteine transfer RNA
Source: RNAcentral